This 72-nucleotide transfer RNA is filed under the name Capsicum annuum. It matches the Rfam family "tRNA". Rfam says of the family: Transfer RNA (tRNA) molecules are approximately 80 nucleotides in length. Their secondary structure includes four short double-helical elements and three loops (D, anti-codon, and T loops). Lineage: Eukaryota; Viridiplantae; Streptophyta; Magnoliopsida; Solanales; Solanaceae. The record is from Rfam by way of RNAcentral.
UGGGGCGUGGCCAAGCGCUAAGGCAACGGGUUUUGGUCCCGCUAUUCGGAGGUUCGAAUUCUUCUGUCCGAG